AAAUCCAUCAUUGCAUGGCUGAAUUUUCCUUCUUCAUUCUGUUUAACUGCCAAUUGCUGAGUCAGACUCUCCAGUGUUGUUUUUUCCUUAAAAGAAGAAAUUUAUAAAGAGAAGUCAUUACAAAGCUAGGAUUAGUCAGGUAUAUUUUUCUAAUACAAUACAAUAUUAUAGUGAUACAUUAACUUAUGAAGGGGCUAGGAUGUUGAUUUAGUCACCAUUGCGUGAUCAGCAAAUGACACCAUGGUCACUAAAGGAAACAACCUUUGGGACUUAGAAGGAACUCUGAUUUUUAUAAACCCUUAUAAAGUCUUGGCACUUGGGCCUGGUAUGUCCUGAGGACAUAUGUUGGGAUCCUGGGAGAUUAACUUCCCAAGUCAUAAAAUGCAUCAGCAACAACCUGUUUUGCAUUUGGAAAAGCCGCUUUAUUUUUAGCCAGACAGUAGAAGUAUAGGAGUGGCAUGAGGCCCAGAGGAAAGACUUCCAAUAGUCAGGUGACCAGAUGACAGAAACAACUCACAGUAGUGCCCUCUGGUCGCUCUCUCCCCAAAUACCAUCUGCAUUCCUCAUGCAAGGGUAAUGAAGAUGUUUACAUAUUCAUUGCUAAUUGCUUGUCAAGUCUCUGUAUAUCCAACGUGAGUGCCUGCUACUUGGACCACAAUUUGAUUUGGAUUGCUAAGCCAAAAUAUUGAGUUGGCGAAUUAUUUGAGAUACAAAUAUACCAAAAUUAGAUCUGCAAAGACACUGAGUCAUUUAAAAGCAUGCAGUGCAUGAUUUGCAUCUGUGCAGAACAAGGCAUUACAAACCAAAUUGUGUUCAAGCCAAAGAUAAUGCUUGAUCUUUAAAUGCUUCCAAAUUUACAAAGUGGGUGGUUCUAGAGGGAAAAAAGUAUGCAUUGAAAGAUGGACAACUUCCCAUUGAAUUCACCACCACUGCUCUGAGGAUGACAUGAUACUGGAUUUUAUAAAGAAACCUGAGCAGACACUCUAAGAACUCACCUCCUUUUCUGAGGAACACAGUCACGAACUGUGCUAGUGAACCAAACCAUGGGAGUGCUGUUUAUAUGAUACAGUGUUCCCAGAAAACAAUCCACCAUUUAAGAUCAUUGUCGCACAGGUAAAAGGGACUAAUUAGUCUUCCCACCAGGAACUAAUAGGGUAUUGAAAGUCUUACUACAGUACAUAUUUUAUUGAAAAUCUCUGACAAUACCACAAUUGUAUAAACUGCAUUAAAAUUUUUCUUAGUGGCCUUGGGACUCCUGUGCUCCAUUCAUCCAAGUCUGCACAUGAUUUACUAUAGAAACGCUGUUAACUUGCCAACCCAUAUAAAAUGUGGCAGCAAAAUGAAACAGACAAUCAUUUAUAGUAGCUUCAAUUCUGUGGAAUCUGAUAGCGUUAAAACUGCACUAAGUUAUACACGUUAAGAUGUAGAGCCUGACUCUGUUGUGUGUGGAAGGUUACACAGCUGCAGUGAGUGCUCUCUACGGCUUUGCCUGAAACACACUGUGGAGUGAGCUGAGUUCGAGAACACCAAGGACCCUGGCUGGACAGACCUUCCUCACGGUGAAUGGAGCUGUGCACACACAGGAUGGGUCCACUGGGAGAAAAGAAAGCAAGGGAGAUUACACGAACAUGAUCCGACAGCCUCUGGACCAAUGAAGACUUUAUUCUUUUCUCUCCUGGCCAUGUCCUCGGCUUGGACCAGUUUCUUAAGAUUUAGUGGUACACAAGGCACUAACAUUACCUUUUUUUCUAGGGAAUUUUCCAGUAGGAAGCUAAGACUUUCAGGAAGAAGACGACAAAGCAAAAGCAACUGGAGUGAAAAGAAGAUGAAGUGGUAGGUGACUUCCAAGGUUCGCAGUCGACCUACAAGGACCUGAGCCAUCCUCCCAAUAGACAAGAAUUAGCAAGUGAUGACCGGCAAACCCAGUGUCAGUUUAUCCAGACCUGGAGCGCAGAGCAGGAAGCUCAGUGAUAAGUGCUGAGAUGUAACUCCUGUUGGGCUCACCCUUCUACUAACAGCACUGCUGUCAGGACGGAGAAAUCACCCACACUCAAAUGGAGUAAGAAGAAAGCAACAAAUUUAUUAUGGA
This is a long non-coding RNA of Ochotona curzoniae (black-lipped pika), 2089 nucleotides long. RefSeq lists it as uncharacterized. The transcript has 4 exons. The record is from RefSeq and is a predicted model, not a curated record. Lineage: Eukaryota; Metazoa; Chordata; Mammalia; Lagomorpha; Ochotonidae.